Molecule: ribosomal RNA, 487 nt
Filed under: uncultured bacterium
Lineage: Bacteria
Description: partial 16S ribosomal RNA
Rfam family: Bacterial small subunit ribosomal RNA
Source: RNAcentral
UGGGAAUUUUGGACAAUGGGGGCAACCCUGAUCCAGCCAUCCCGCGUGUGCGAUGAAGGCCUUCGGGUUGUAAAGCACUUUUGGCAGGGAAGAAACAGCCUGGGAUAAUACCCCGGGCGACUGACGGUACCUGCAGAAUAAGCACCGGCUAACUACGUGCCAGCAGCCGCGGUAAUACGUAGGGUGCAAGCGUUAAUCGGAAUUACUGGGCGUAAAGCGUGCGCAGGCGGUUCGGAAAGAAAGGUGUGAAAUCCCAGGGCUUAACCUUGGAACUGCACUUUUAACUACCGAGCUAGAGUACGUCAGAGGGGGGUAGAAUUCCACGUGUAGCAGUGAAAUGCGUAGAGAUGUGAGGAAUACCGAUGGCGAAGGCAGCCCCUGGGAUGAUACUGACGCUCAUGCACGAAAGCGUGGGGAGCAAACAGGAUUAGAUACCCUGGUAGUCCACGCCCUAAAACGAUGUCAACUAGCUGUUGGGGUUUAUUAA